RNAcentral lists this ribosomal RNA (639 nucleotides) under uncultured Actinomycetes bacterium. RNAcentral describes it as "bacterial SSU rRNA". It matches the Rfam family "Bacterial small subunit ribosomal RNA", at positions 232 to 885 of the family's 1533-position model. The record is from RNAcentral. Lineage: Bacteria; Bacillati; Actinomycetota; Actinomycetes.
CGCGGCCUAUCAGCUUGUUGGUGAGGUAACGGCUCACCAAGGCAUCGACGGGUAGCUGGUCUGAGAGGAUGAUCAGCCACACUGGGACUGAGACACGGCCCAGACUCCUACGGGAGGCAGCAGUAGGGAAUCUUGCGCAAUGGGCGAAAGCCUGACGCAGCAACGCCGCGUGGGGGGUGAAUGCCUUCGGGUUGUAAACCCCUUUCAGCAGGGACGAAAUUGACGGUACCUGCAGAAGAAGGUCCGGCCAACUACGUGCCAGCAGCCGCGGUAAUACGUAGGGACCGAGCGUUGUCCGGAACUAUUGGGCGUAAAGAGCUCGUAGGCGGUUCAGUAAGUCGGGUGUGAAAACUCAAGGCUCAACCUUGAGACGCCACUCGAUACUGCUGUGACUUGAGUCCGGUAGAGGAGUGUGGAAUUCCUGGUGUAGCGGUGAAAUGCGCAGAUAUCAGGAGGAACACCUGCGGCGAAGGCGGCACUCUGGGCCGGUACUGACGCCGAGGAGCGAAAGCAUGGGGAGCAAACAGGAUUAGAUACCCUGGUAGUCCAUGCCGUAAACGUUGGGCACUAGGUAUGGGACCAUAUCAACGGGUUCCGUGCCGUAGCUAACGCAUUAAGUGCCCCGCCUGGGGAGUACGG